Rhopalosiphum padi (bird cherry-oat aphid) is the source of this 1420-nucleotide long non-coding RNA. RefSeq lists it as uncharacterized. The record is from RefSeq and is a predicted model, not a curated record. Lineage: Eukaryota; Metazoa; Arthropoda; Insecta; Hemiptera; Aphididae. The transcript is spliced from 10 exons.
AAAUACAGCAGAUCACUCAAUGGAUGCUGAAACAUUAUUUGGUAUUCAAACAACUUUGGAAAAGUAUGAACAUCCAAUUUUGAAAAUGAACUAACGAAUACUGGUUAUAAAGAAUUUAUGCAAUGUACGUGUAAUGGUUAUUAGAUGCAAAUUCAGCAGAUCACUCAAGGGAUGCUGAAACAUUAUUUGGUAUUCAAACAACUCUGGAAAAGUAUGAACAUCCAAUUUUGAAAAUGAACUAACGGAUACUGAUUAUAAAGAAUUUAUGCAAUAUGCAAAUACAGCAGAUCACUCAAGGGAUGCUGAAACAUUAUUUGGUAUUCAAACAACUCUGGAAAAGUAUGAACAUCCAAUUUUGAAAAUGAACUAAAAGAUACUGAUUAUAAAGAAUUUAUGCAAUAUGCAAAUACAGCAGAUCGCUCAAGGGAUGCUGAAACAUUAUUUGGUAUUCAAACAACUCUGGAAAAGUAUGAACAUCCAAUUUUGAAAAUGAACUAACGAAUACUGAUUAUAAUGAAUUUAUGCAAAUUACAUAUUGCAAUACAGCAGACAAUGAAAGCCAUGGUGAGACAUGAAUUCGCGAUUCUAUCAGUUUGGAAAAUAUAAACAUCCUAUGUUGAAAAUGGACUAGAAGAUACUGAUAAUAAUAAUUGUUUUAUUCAACAUGCAAAUACAGCAGAUCACUCAAGGGAUGCUGAAACAUUAUUUGGUAUUCAAACAACUCUGGAAAAGUAUGAACAUCCAAUUUUGAAAAUGAACUAACAAAUACUGAUUAUAAAGAAUUUAUGCAAUGUACGUGUAAUGGUUAUUAGAUGCAAAUUCAGCAGAUCACUCAAGGGAUGCUGAAACAUUAUUUGGUAUUCAAACAACUCUGGAAAAGUAUGAACAUCCAAUUUUGAAAAUGAACUAACGGAUACUGAUUAUAAAGAAUUUAUGCAAUAUGCAAAUACAGCAGAUCACUCAAGGGAUGCUGAAACAUUAUUUGGUAUUCAAACAACUCUGGAAAAGUAUGAACAUCCAAUUUUGAAAAUGAACUAACAAAUACUGAUUAUAAAGAAUUUAUGCAAUGUACGUGUAAUGGUUAUUAGAUGCAAAUUCAGCAGAUCACUCAAGGGAUGCUGAAACAUUAUUUGGUAUUCAAACAACUCUGGAAAAGUAUGAACAUCCAAUUUUGAAAAUGAACUAACGGAUACUGAUUAUAAAGAAUUUAUGCAAUAUGCAAAUACAGCAGAUCACUCAAGGGAUGCUGAAACAUUAUUUGGUAUUCAAACAACUCUGGAAAAGUAUGAACAUCCAAUUUUGAAAAUGAACUAAAAGAUACUGAUUAUAAAGAAUUUAUGCAAUGUACGUGUAAUGGUUAUUAGGUAUAGUUGAUAGAAAAUUAAUAGCAAUGUAACUAAAAGUUACUCAAAUGCUUCCC